ACGAACGCUGGCGGCGUGCUUCACCCCUGCCAGUCGAACGGUGAAGGGAUCAGCUUGCUGGUUCUGGAUGAGUGGCGAACGGGUGAGUAACACGUGAGUAACCUGCCCCCUUCUUCUGGAUAACCGCAUGAAAGUGUGGCUAAUACGGGAUAUUCUGCGCCUGCUGCAUGGUGGGUGUGGGAAAGAUAUUGUUUCGGUGGGGGAUGGGCUCGCGGCCUAUCAGCUUGUUGGUGGGGUGAUGGCCUACCAAGGCGGUGACGGGUAGCCGGCCUGAGAGGGUGGACGGUCACACUGGGACUGAGACACGGCCCAGACUCCUACGGGAGGCAGCAGUGGGGAAUAUUGCACAAUGGGCGCAAGCCUGAUGCAGCGACGCCGCGUGAGGGAUGGAGGCCUUCGGGUUGUGAACCUCUUUCGCCAGUGAAGCAGGCCUGUCCCUUGUGGGUGGGUUGACGGUAGCUGGAUAAGAAGCGCCGGCUAACUACGUG
RNAcentral lists this ribosomal RNA (488 nucleotides) under uncultured bacterium. RNAcentral's name for it is "partial 16S ribosomal RNA". It matches the Rfam family "Bacterial small subunit ribosomal RNA", at positions 29 to 507 of the family's 1533-position model. The record is from RNAcentral.